RNAcentral lists this non-coding RNA (187 nucleotides) under Desulfosporosinus sp. RNAcentral describes it as "Lysine sequence". It matches the Rfam family "Lysine riboswitch aptamer". From Rfam's summary of the family: Riboswitches are metabolite binding domains within certain messenger RNAs that serve as precision sensors for their corresponding targets. Allosteric rearrangement of mRNA structure is mediated by ligand binding, and this results in modulation of gene expression. This family includes riboswitches that sense lysine in a number of genes involved in lysine metabolism, including lysC. Lineage: Bacteria; Bacillati; Bacillota; Clostridia; Eubacteriales; Desulfitobacteriaceae. RNAcentral also lists the same sequence under 1 other name. The record is from RNAcentral.
AGGUGCGGUAGAGGCGCGAAUGACAAGAGUACUGUGGAGUAAGUUGCGGAAACUAAUGAGCCCAUGGGAAAGGAGAUUUCGCCGAAGCCCAAAAAUUCGCAGUUUUUGGUGCUGGGCCUGUAGUGAAGAACUGCAGGACUGUCAUACAAUGUUAAGGAAAAACAUUGUAUGGAGAGCUACUCCCAAC